CGGACCGGCGCACGGGUGAGCAACACGUAUGCAACCUGGCCGCCACAGGGGGAUAACCCGCGGAAACGCGGCCUAAUACCCCGUGACGCCACCGGAGGGCAUCCUCCGGUGGCCAAAGGAGCGAUCCGGUGGCGGAUGGGCAUGCGGCGCAUUAGCUAGACGGCGGGGUGACGGCCCACCGUGGCGACGAUGCGUAGGGGUUCUGAGAGGAAGGCCCCCCACACUGGGACUGAGACACGGCCCAGACUCCUACGGAAGGCAGCAG
This 265-nucleotide ribosomal RNA is filed under the name uncultured bacterium. RNAcentral's name for it is "partial 16S ribosomal RNA". It matches the Rfam family "Bacterial small subunit ribosomal RNA", at positions 91 to 354 of the family's 1533-position model. The record is from RNAcentral.